This 2060-nucleotide long non-coding RNA is filed under the name Mus musculus (house mouse). Its description in RNAcentral is "long non-coding RNA chr9:92475969-92478029". Lineage: Eukaryota; Metazoa; Chordata; Mammalia; Rodentia; Muridae. The record is from RNAcentral.
GCUACACAGAGAAACCCUGUCUCGGGAAAAAAAAAAAAAAAAAAAAAAAAAAAAAAAAAAAAAAAAAAAAGGCCUUUGGCCAAUGACUUAGUCAGGAAAUAAGAGGUGGGAUAUCUUGGAGGAGAAAGAAUUCUGAGAUAGAGCCAGGUCAGAGGUUUGCCUGGGAAGAUGUAAGGAGAGCCCUGAUAACUAGCCAAAAGGCAGAAUGUAGGUUAAAAUAAAUGCAUUAUCUUUAGUUGUGAUUUAGUCAAAGUAGAGUUUAGCUAUAGGGCCAAGGUAUUUGUAGAUAUAUUUCCCAGUCUGGAUCUUAUUUCUGGGAGCAUGAGACUUGGAGGAAGAACCACACCUAACUUCUACACUCAAGAGCUGGUUCUCUCAGUGUUCUUUGGUAUUUUCUUGAGUCCUGCCUGGCUCCCCUCUCUUUCAUCCACUUUUCUUUUUUUAUACUCUCUCAUAAAGUGAUCUUGACAAUCCAACUAGUUUUGUGUACUUUUGGUUACUUAUAAAUCCCAUCCUGAUCCACUUUACCACACUACACUUCAGAUUUUCAAUCGCUACUGUCUGUUCACCUUGUUCUCUGCAUAGAUACAUGUCCUCAAACAUAAUCAUUGAACCGAAUUUGACAUAUUACUCCCAUAUUCAUACUCCUAUUUUCCACACUUUGGAGGCAUGUAGGAGCACAAACUAAAAACAUUAGAAUCAUUCCUUAAUAACCAGUCCACUAAUGAGUCAACACUUUUUUUAAGGCCAGUUUUAAUGAUUUCUUCCUUGACACAAUUAAAUUUCCUUGCCUUACAUCUGGAUGCUAGCAAGUACCUCCUGCUUAAUGUAAUGUUGUGUGCUAAGGAUUACAAAUGUGAAAACAUCUACUCUUCAUCCUCAUGGCAGAGUUCAAGCUGUACAUACAAAGCAUAAGGUUUGCUUAUAUGCUUACCUUUCCUGCUCUCUAGCCUUGCAUGUGAGCAUCCCACACACAGCCCUACCUUCUGUAGAGCUGAGCCUACUUUGUCCAUUUCUUGUUCUGGUCUAUGUUCUCAUAAGACCAUCCCUUGCCAUGGAGGACCAGGUUGAAUGAGGUAGCAUUUAUGCCAUAGCUCAUGUUAUCUUCAUGGGUUAAGAACCUCUCUUGCCAUCCCUCAGUACACUAUGCAUCUCUCUGUGUGCAGCAGUUAAGUGCUUUAUAAUAACCAUUGGUUUUUCUUACAAGCAUUAAUAUGCUCUGAAAUACAGAAGGCAGUAAUGAGUGUAUAAGUCAAAACAACUGGUUCCUAAGGCUGAUUUGAUUAACGUUCCCUAAAUAAAGUAAUGUUUACCUCAUAGCUUCAUUUUGAAAUAGCAUUAGAGAAUUGAUUUUGUAGUUCAUGUCUUUAUUAACAAGCUUAUAUCAUAGAUUGGGACGUCACAGAUUCACUUAGCUUCAAAAGCUAAUGUCUAAAUUGCAGGAAUUUGAUCACCUGCACAACUGGUUUUGAAGAAAAUGCUCUUUUCCCUAUUUGUCCUUCAAAGAAACUUCUUCAAGCUCUGGGGUUGUACCUUUUCUUGUACUAACUGAUUUUUCUCAGUGUUGGUUAAUACAAGACCACUGUGCUUUGGUGACUGGGAAUGUGUGUGUGUGUGUGUGUGUGUGUGUGUGUGUAAUAUAAGGAUUGAAAUAGUUGACAGCCGUAGAGUUGUUAGAUCUACAGCCCUCCACAGAAUCCCCUAGUGAAUGUUCCUAUUCCUUGCUUAUAAUACAGUAGGGAUAUUGAUGUAAUGUAGUUAAUAAUAUAGUAAAUGUUAUAUAAUGCAGAAAUAUAGAUGCUAGAAAGGCUUCUGGCAGUUUAACAACAUCCUUUCAUGAUUAAAAACUCCAAAAAAAAGCUAAAAAUAGAAGAAACAUACCCUGAUAUAAUAAUGGCUUUAUAGGUCCCAUCUAUAAUUUACAUUAUACCUAAUAAGAAAAAAGAGAGAGAGAGUUUCUCAUUUGAAACAUACAAAGGUGCCCACUCUCUUCAUUCUUGCUCAGCCCAGUGCUUGAACUCUUAGAUAGAGCAGUAAAACAAGAGAAAGGAAUAAAGACU